GACGAACGCUGGCGGCGUGCCUAAUACAUGCAAGUCGAACGAGAGCGACCGGUGCUUGCACUGGUCAAUCUAGUGGCGAACGGGUGAGUAACACGGGGGUAACCUGCCCAUCAGAGGGGGAUAACAUUCGGAAACGGAUGCUAAAACCGCAUAGGUCUUCGAACCGCAUGGUUUGAAGAGGAAAAGAGGCGCAAGCUUCUGCUGAUGGAUGGACCCGCGGUGCAGUAGCUAGUUGGUGAGGUAGCGGCUCACCAAGGCCGUGAUGCAUAGCCGACCUGAGAGGGUGAUCGGCCACAUUGGGACUGAGACACGGCCCAAACUCCUACGGGAGGCAGCAGUAGGGAAUCUUCCGCAAUGGACGCAAGUCUGACGGAGCAACGCCGCGUGAGUGAAGAAGGUUUUCGGAUCGUAAAACUCUGUUGUUAGAGAAGAACAAGUGCUAGAGUAACUGUUAGCGCCUUGACGGUACCUAAGCAGAAAGCCACGGCUAACUCCGUG
This 498-nucleotide ribosomal RNA is filed under the name uncultured bacterium. RNAcentral's name for it is "partial 16S ribosomal RNA". It matches the Rfam family "Bacterial small subunit ribosomal RNA", at positions 28 to 507 of the family's 1533-position model. The record is from RNAcentral.